This 1182-nucleotide long non-coding RNA is filed under the name Chrysemys picta bellii (western painted turtle). RNAcentral describes it as "lncRNA (ENSCPBG00000006690.1)". Lineage: Eukaryota; Metazoa; Chordata; Testudines; Emydidae. The record is from RNAcentral.
UUCUCGGGGUUCCCUUUCAUUUUGCGGCCACAACACUUGCAGACAAACAGUCCUCUGAGUGCACGCACACACGCACGCGCACACACACACACACACACACGGUCUCUCUCACACACGCGCCUCGCAGGAAGUACAGGCGGGAGGAAAUGACUCGUGAGGCCUCCUCAUUCUGCUGCCCGAGUGCUGCCCUCCCCCUCCUGCUCACACACCGUCCCAGCGCCUGCUGCCAUGAGGGUCCAAGUCUCCGUAUUCUUGUUCCUGGUCCUGGACCCAGUCCUGGUUCUGAAUCAGCAAGCUCCCACAGAUAACUCCCUGAAGGCGACGCCUUUGCUGGCUAAGACAAUCCUUGAGGAUAAGCAGGGGGAUGGAGACCAAGAUGCAGAGGUGGAAAACACAUCUAGCACAGCCACCACAGGGUCUGGAGGCUCCAGUUCCAGCAGCACGAGCACAACUGUUUCAGCCACCACAGGGUCUGGAGGCUCCAGUUCCGGCAGCACGAGCACAACCGCUUCAGGCUCCAAGAGGCCUGUUACCCACAGAGAGCCCGGGAGCUCGGCCAGAUCAGGAGCCGGCCAAAGCCAAGAGGAAAUCUUCACUUACGAUUACCACUCCCUGCGCAAGUGGGGCCUGAUAGCCGCCGCCAUUCUCUUCGUCCUGGGCAUCCUCAUCCUCACCUGUGGUAAAUACGGGAAGCUCCCCGGAUGUGGGGGCCGGAAGCGGAGGAGCGCCUAUGACAUCUCACGGCUCUGAGGCACCCCCUGCUGGGGGAUCCGUUUGGGGAUCGGACACUGCUUGGAGGGGCCGGCUCGGAGCCCCACAGCGAUGCUGCAUACCUGGGGGCUGGGCAGAACCAGCAGCACAGACCCGAGGGCUGCCAAGUGUCCCCCGCUCCCCCCUCUGUGAUCUGCCUGUCAGCAGCACCCCAGCUCUGAUCACCCCGGCCUGGCCUCUCUAGCCCCCGGCUGACUCCCCAGCCUGUCCCCCAGGCCUGGAUCCUCCAUCCCUCUCCUUUCCCCCUCCCAGCCUUGUCCCCCCAUCCCUGUCCCCUCCCCCUUCCUGGCCUGGAUUCCCCAUCCUUGUCCCCCCCUUCAGGCCUUAUCCCCCCUAAAUCCGAGUCCCCAGCCUGCACCUGGCCUGUCUUCCCCAUCCCUGUCCACCCUCCCAGUCUCUGAGCGCCGGUCG